CAAUUUUUUUGAACUUUUGCAAAAUGAAACAAAUUUUCAUUUUAUUCAUUGGUUACCAUAACUGAAUACGUAUUUAUUGCACCAAUUAUGUUUUACCCUGAGGUAGACUGGUUGGGGCGGGAUUAUAGAGUUGAAAAUGAAGGGUUACACUUAUAAGAAAACAUUAAGGUAGUUAAUGAUUUCUAGACCAAAUCAAUAGUAAUUAAGUAUUAUAGGAAUAAGAGUUAUUCUGGUGUAAUAUUUGAUUGAAAAUGUCUCAAUUUAGUGAAAGAGAAACUGUUUGCCUCGAGGUGGCAUUUAUUCUAAAUAAUUGAAAUAUCAUUGCAAAAUAAAAAUGAUGUUGAGGUUCAUAUUUCUUUUUUUAAACUGAUUGGAUUAAAACGAAUUUUUGCAUGUCUAAAUCAUGACUAGUGCGGUUAUUUCUUUACUUGGCGCCGAUAAAUUAAACAGUGAAAACUGUGCAACAUGAAAAAAAUAUGAUCAACACCGUCAUGGUCAUCGACGAUCUCAAAUUCGUCCUAACAGAGGAAUGUCCUCUAGUUCUUGGACCCACUGCUUCACGAAACAUUCAUGAAGCCCAUGAAAAAUGGACUAAGGCCAACGAUAAGGCCAGGGUCUAUAUUUUGGCAAGCUUGACUAAUCUUGAGCACAAAGCUUGAGCUCAUGAUAACUGCACAUGAGAACCAUGGAGUCAUUGCGUGGGAUGUUGGGCCAAUUGACUACACGUCUCAAAUAUAAUGCUCUGAAGUUCAUCUUGAACACUCGAAUGAACGAGGGAUCGUCUAUUAGGGAACAUGUCCUUAACAUGAUGGUCCACUUCAGUAUCGCUAAGAUGAACGGGGUUGUCAUAGACGAGUCCAGCUAGACUUGCGAGUCCUUGAGGAAAGUCAAAGGACAUUAUGGAAAGGCAAAUGUUACCAAUUCCUUGAAAAAAUUCCAUAGGGAUUCUACCUUUGGGACUAAGUUCACACCUUGUUCCACUAGCUCUAAGAAAUGGAAGAAGAAGAAAGAUGGUAAGGGGAAGAAUAAAACUAUCCCACCUGCUGUCGCCCACAAGGGCAAAAAGGUGAAAACUGUAAAGGGAACCUGUUUUCAUUGCAAGAGGAUGGACAUUGGAAAUGUAACUACCUAAAGUACUACUGAAAAGAAGAAGGAAAAAGAAGGAAACUAGUUUUUGGAAGCAGCUGAAGGCUAGAGAGAUGUCUCUAUGGGUUGAAAUAUGGGAGGUUGUCUCGGUGGUUGUAGUUGGGAGCUUAAAAUUACUUUUCAAUUCAAAGUUUAUAUUGCUA
Benincasa hispida (wax gourd) is the source of this 1289-nucleotide long non-coding RNA. RefSeq lists it as uncharacterized. The record is from RefSeq and is a predicted model, not a curated record. Lineage: Eukaryota; Viridiplantae; Streptophyta; Magnoliopsida; Cucurbitales; Cucurbitaceae.